RNAcentral lists this ribosomal RNA (81 nucleotides) under Fusarium oxysporum. RNAcentral describes it as "partial 28S ribosomal RNA". The record is from RNAcentral. Lineage: Eukaryota; Fungi; Ascomycota; Sordariomycetes; Hypocreales; Nectriaceae.
GUUGACCUCGGAUCAGGUAGGAAUACCCGCUGAACUUAAGCAUAUCAAUAGCCGGGAGGAAGCAUAUCAAUAAGCGGAGGA